This is a non-coding RNA of Arvicanthis niloticus (Nile rat), 2186 nucleotides long. Lineage: Eukaryota; Metazoa; Chordata; Mammalia; Rodentia; Muridae. The record is from RefSeq and is a predicted model, not a curated record.
CCAGCCUGCUUCUCCGCCGCCAAUUAAAAAAUUAAUUAGUUAAAAAAUAGUGUAUCUGCUUGUGGUUAUGUGCACGUGGGUACAAAGGCCAGAGGAGGGUGUUUGUGUUUUCCGGAGCUGGAGUUACAAGUGUAUGUGAACCACUCAAUGUGGGUGUUGGGAUCCAAACCCACGUCUUCUGGAAUCACUUAAUCACUUAGCUAUCUCUCUAGACCAAAUGAUAAUCUUUUAACUGUAUAUUCUAAUAUAUAAAAGAACCAGAUCCCAAUACUGUACACCCCACAAAACAAGUUAUACUUGUUUGAAAUAAGCUUUAUGUAAUAAUUCAAAGAUAACGCUCUCACAUUCUGCCGCUGGCUUACACUGCGCUGCUUUCUGCUGUUCCGCUGCCUCGUCCUUCUCCGAUUAUAAUGGAAGAAGAAAUUGUCGCACUCAACAUUGACAAUGGCUCCGGCAUGUGCAAAGCUGGCUUUGCUGGUGACGAUGCACCCAGGGCUGUGUUCCUUUCCAUCGUCAGGCGUCCCUGACACCAGGGCAUCAUGGUGGGCAUGGGCUAGAAAGACUCCUACGUGGAUGACAAGGCCCAGAGCAAGAGGGCUAUCCUGAACCCGAAGUAUCCUAUCGAGCACGGCAUUGUCACCAACUGGGAUGACAUGGAGAAGAUCUGGCAUCACACCUUCUACAAUGAGCUACGUGUGGCCUCUGAGGAGCACCCAGUGCUUCUGACUGAGCCCCCCUGAACCCCAAAGCUAACAGAGAGAAGACGCAGAUAAUGUUUGAAACCUUCAGUACCCCAGCCAUGUACGUGGCCAUUCAGGCGGUGCUAUCCUUGUAUGCAUCUGGGUGCACCACUGACAUUGUCAUGGACUCUGGUGAUGGGGUCACACACACAGUGCCCAUCUACAAGGGCUAUGCCCUUCCCCACACCAUCUUGCAUCUGGACCUGGCUGGCCGGGACCUGACAGACUACCUCAUGAAGAUCCUGACUGAAUGGGGCUACAGCUUUACCACCACUGCUGAAAUUGUUCGUGACAUAAAGAACUGGGCUAUGUUGCCCUGGAUUUUGAGCAAGAAAUGGCUACUGCUGCAAUGAGCUGCCUGAUGGGCUGGUGAUCACCAUCGGCAAUGAGCAGUUUCAGUGUCCGGAGGCUCUCUUCCAGUCAUCCUUCCUGGGCAUGGAGUCCUGUGGCAUCCAUGAGAGCACCUUCAACUCCAUCAUGAAGUGUGACGUGGACAUCCUCAAAGACCUGUAUGCCAAUACAGUGCUGUCUGAUGGUACCACCAUGUAUCCAGGCAUUGACAGGAUGCAGGAGGAGAUCACGGCCCUAGCACCGAGCACAAUGAAGAUUAAGAUCAUUGCUCCCCCUGAGCGCAAGUACUCAGUCUGGAUUGGCGCCUCCAUCCUGGCCUCACUGCCCACUUUCCAGCAGAUGUGGAUCAGCAAGCAGGAGUAUGCGGAGUCGGGUCUCUCCAUCAUCCACUGCAAUGCUUCUAGAUGCACUGAGCAGCUGCCAGGCUUGCUGCAUGAGCUGAUUCUGAAGUACCUAUUUGCCCUGUCAAUUGUACACACCUCAUGCCAGCCUCAUGAAAAGAAAUUUGUCCUUGAAGCUUGUAUCUGAUAUCAGCACUGGAUCGUAGGACUUGUUGCUGAUUUUUGACCUUGUAUUCAAGUUAACGGUUCCCUUGGUACAUGUUUAAUACCCUGUGCAUAUCUUGAUUUAGUCCUUAAUUCAUGUGGCUCGGUCCCUUGGUGGCUGGGGAGAGCACGCUGUGGAUAGAAAUCCCCAGCCUGGUGGAUCUUGUGAGCACCAGGUAUACUGUGUAGGGUAUUAACUGACAGCAGACUUCCAGGAUUUCCUGAGGCUUGCAAGGGACCCUGAACCAGUUACCACCCCUUCUUGCCAAUCUAACAGGUUGGGAAAGUCCGAGCCUUAGGACCUAGUUUUCGUUCUCGUUUUUCCCUCCUGACCGCCAUGGGUUGUUACUUGCCUUGAGUUGGGAACGUUUGCAUCGACACCUGAAAAUGUAUUCAUCCUUUUAAUUUAUGUAAGGUUUUUUGUACUCAAUUCUUUAAGAAAUGACAAAUUUUGGUUUUCUACUAUUCAGUGAGAACAUUAGGCCCCAGCAACAUGUCACUGUGUAAAGAAAAAUAAAAGUGCUGCAGUAACUGAAAAAAAAAAAAAAAA